AGUGAACGCUGGCGGUAGGCCUAACACAUGCGAGUCGAACGGCAGCACAGGAGAGCUUGCUCUCUGGGUGGCGAGUGGCGGACGGGUGAGGAAUACAUCGGAAUCUGCCCAGUCGUGGGGGAUAACGUAGGGAAACUUACGCUAAUACCGCAUACGACCUUCGGGUGAAAGAGGGGGAUCGCAAGACCCCUCGCGAUUGGAUGAGCCGAUGUCGGAUUAGCUAGUUGGCGGGGUAAUGGCCCACCAAGGCGACGAUCCGUAGCUGGUCUGAGAGGAUGAUCAGCCACACUGGAACUGAGACACGGUCCAGACUCCUACGGGAGGCAGCAGUGGGGAAUAUUGGACAAUGGGCGCAAGCCUGAUCCAGCCAUACCGCGUGGGUGAAGAAGGCCUUCGGGUUGUAAAGCCCUUUUGUUGGGAAAGAAAUCUUUCAGGCUAAUACCCUGGGAGGAUGACGGUACCCAAAGAAUAAGCACCGGCUAACUUCGUG
RNAcentral lists this ribosomal RNA (490 nucleotides) under uncultured bacterium. Its description in RNAcentral is "partial 16S ribosomal RNA". It matches the Rfam family "Bacterial small subunit ribosomal RNA", at positions 29 to 507 of the family's 1533-position model. The record is from RNAcentral.